GAGGGUAUAGCUCAGUGGUAGAGUGUGUGCUUAGCAUGCAUGAAGUCCUGGGUUCAAUCCCCAGUGCCUCCA
This 72-nucleotide transfer RNA is filed under the name Camelus bactrianus (Bactrian camel). It matches the Rfam family "tRNA". From Rfam's summary of the family: Transfer RNA (tRNA) molecules are approximately 80 nucleotides in length. Their secondary structure includes four short double-helical elements and three loops (D, anti-codon, and T loops). RNAcentral also lists the same sequence under 3 other names. Lineage: Eukaryota; Metazoa; Chordata; Mammalia; Artiodactyla; Camelidae. The record is from Rfam by way of RNAcentral.